Molecule: transfer RNA, 75 nt
Filed under: bacterium
Lineage: Bacteria
Description: tRNA-Arg
Rfam family: tRNA
About the family: Transfer RNA (tRNA) molecules are approximately 80 nucleotides in length. Their secondary structure includes four short double-helical elements and three loops (D, anti-codon, and T loops).
Source: RNAcentral
GUCCCCGUAGUGAAACGGAUAUCACGACAGACUUCGAAUCUGUUAGUGGGGGUUCGAAUCCUCCCGGGGACACCA